AUUGAACGCUGGCGGCAGGCCUAACACAUGCAAGUCGAGCGGAUGAAGGGAGCUUGCUCCUGGAUUCAGCGGCGGACGGGUGAGUAAUGCCUAGGAAUCUGCCUGGUAGUGGGGGAUAACGUCCGGAAACGGGCGCUAAUACCGCAUACGUCCUGAGGGAGAAAGUGGGGGAUCUUCGGACCUCACGCUAUCAGAUGAGCCUAGGUCGGAUUAGCUAGUUGGUGGGGUAAAGGCCUACCAAGGCGACGAUCCGUAACUGGUCUGAGAGGAUGAUCAGUCACACUGGAACUGAGACACGGUCCAGACUCCUACGGGAGGCAGCGGUGGGAAAUAUUGGACAAUGGGCGAAAGCCUGAUCCAGCCAUGCCGCGUGUGUGAAGAAGGUCUUCGGAUUGUAAAGCACUUUAAGUUGGGAGGAAGGGCAGUAAGUUAAUACCUUGCUGUUUUGACGUUACCAACAGAAUAAGCACCGGCUAACUUCGUG
RNAcentral lists this ribosomal RNA (484 nucleotides) under uncultured bacterium. Its description in RNAcentral is "partial 16S ribosomal RNA". It matches the Rfam family "Bacterial small subunit ribosomal RNA", at positions 30 to 507 of the family's 1533-position model. The record is from RNAcentral.